UGCCAGCAGCCGCGGUACCACGGGGGGAGCAAGCGUUGUCCGGAAUUAUUGGGCGUAAAGGGCGCGUAGGCUGGAUGAUCAGUCUAGGGUGAAAUCUUACGGCUUAACCGUAAGUCUGCCCCGGAUACUGUCAUUCUUGAGUUCGGAAGAGGGAAGUGGAAUUCCUGGUGUAGCGGUGAAAUGCGUAGAUAUCAGGAAGAACACCGGUGGCGAAGGCGGCUUCCUGGUCCGAUACUGACGCUGAGGCGCGAAAGCGUGGGGAGCGAACAGGAUUAGAUA
This 279-nucleotide ribosomal RNA is filed under the name uncultured bacterium. RNAcentral describes it as "partial 16S ribosomal RNA". It matches the Rfam family "Bacterial small subunit ribosomal RNA", at positions 506 to 784 of the family's 1533-position model. The record is from RNAcentral.